CGGGCGAGGGACUCGGGAGGGGCUCCCGGAGCCCGACUGAGCGCCUCCCACCUCAGACCAGCCCGGCUCCCGCCUCAGAGCCGGGGGGCUGGGACGCUGCGCCCUGCAGCCAAUCAGCAGCCGCCGGGACGCGGGAGGGAUUGUGAGUGGAGGGGCGGGGGGAAUGCAGGAGAGGCGGGGUGGGGUGGGGUGGGGGCUCCAGCUGCCUCUCCAGGGUCAGUUUCAGGGGAGAAGAUGGAUUUGAACUUGGGCACCCCAGCGCAUGGCCGGGGCGGAGAGCAAGGUUCCCUGGUCUCCAAGCCCAGCGGAGGGGCGUGGUGGCGGUGGGCCCUGCCUCUCCCGCAGCGGCUCCUACUCCUCCCGCACGUCCCUCGCAUCGCCCCUCUCCUCCCAGCUGCCUCUUCCUCCCUUCCAAGGCUCUGGGUCCCACGCUGAGGAGUCUACACCCGGGACCUCUGUCAGACACUUCAUGUGUGCCAGUCAAGACCAACCGUGUCAUUUGCAGGGUUCAAUGCAAGAUGAAAACACAGACUUCCUUUUGUCAAAAAUCAUUAAGAAUUCCGAAACAGUACCAGCAAAGUCUUAACCCAAGCAUGGAGCCCUUCAAAGCGUGGGACCCUGAGGGAUCGCACAGGUCACACACCCACAAGGCCAGUCCUACUUCAGAUUCAAAGGUGAGUGAUGGGUUAACAGUUAGGAGGGUUCAUGGAGAGGCAGCUGCCUCUUAACUCGCAUUGUCCUCACGGAAGCACUGGAAGGGAGCGAUGUUUAUUAGCACCCUUUGAGAUGUGAGAAGACCAAGGCACGGAGAAGGUCAGCAGUUUGCCCAAGGCCCCGGGCGCUGGGAUUGAGUUCAGGGCAGUCUUACUCCACAGCCCAUGCGGUGAAACCAUUGUGAAGCUUAGCCUGGCAGAAGGAUAGGUAGAGGGCAGACAGCUGUCACACACUGUGACACAGGCUCCUUCACUGUCCCUGGCAUCAAGUGGCAUGCCAGCCAUAGAAGUCUUUAUUUAAUAACAUCUUAAAUUUAUAUGUUCAUGUAUUUGAAAGGCAGAGUAACAGAGAGAGGGAAAGGCAGACAGAAGGAGAGACAGAGAGAGAAAGAGAGAGAGAGAGGGAUCUGCCAUACCCAAAUGGCCAAAACAACAGGGCUAGGCCAGGUUGAAGCCAGGUGCCAGGAGCUCCAUCCAGGUCUCCCAUGUGGGUGGCAGGGAUCCAGGUACCUGGGCCAUCUUCCACUGCCCUCCCAGGUGCAUUAGCAGGGAGCUGGAUGGGAAGUAGAGUAGCUGGGACCCCAACUGGUGCUCUGAUAGGGAAUGUGGGUGUCCCAAGUGACAGCUUACCCACUGCACCACAGUGUCCUCCCCAGGAAAUAAAUGAGUCACCAAUAAAAAUAAUACA
This 1401-nucleotide long non-coding RNA is filed under the name Oryctolagus cuniculus (rabbit). RNAcentral describes it as "lncRNA (ENSOCUG00000037266.1)". Lineage: Eukaryota; Metazoa; Chordata; Mammalia; Lagomorpha; Leporidae. The record is from RNAcentral.